GGUGAACCUGCGGAAGGAUCAUUAACCUUUCAAAUCAGGGUGCGGCGCGGCCCCCGAGGAGCGGAAACAAUCCUUGGGAGGUAUGCGGGGGCUUCGAGCCCCCCAUUUACGCACGCACGACUGCCAUCCUUACUUUACGAGCACCUUCUGUUCUCCCUCGGCGGGGCAACCUGCCGUUGGAACCGAAUAAACUCUUUUUGCAUCUAGCAUUACCUGUUCCGAAACAAACAAUCGUUACAACUUUCAACAAUGGAUCUCUUGGCUCUGGCAUCGAUGAAGAACGCAGCGAAAUGCGAUAAGUAGUGUGAAUUGCAGAAUUCAGUGAAUCAUCGAAUCUUUGAACGCACAUUGCGCCCCUCGGUAUUCCGUGGGGCAUGCCUGUUCGAGCGUCAUCUACACCCUCAAGCUCUGCUUGGUGUUGGGCGUCUGUCCCGCCUCCGCGCGUGGACUCGCCCCAAAUUCAUUGGCAGCGGUCCUUGCCUCCUCUCGCGCAGCACAUUGCGCUUCUCGAGGGGCUACGGCUCGCGUCCAACAAGCACAUUUACCGUCUUUGACCUCGGAUCAGGUAGGGAUACCCGCUGAACUUAAGCAU
RNAcentral lists this ribosomal RNA (592 nucleotides) under fungal sp. 57598. RNAcentral's name for it is "eukaryotic LSU rRNA". The stretch from base 239 to 392 matches the Rfam family "5.8S ribosomal RNA". The record is from RNAcentral. Lineage: Eukaryota; Fungi.